Molecule: long non-coding RNA, 5559 nt
Organism: Gallus gallus (chicken)
Lineage: Eukaryota; Metazoa; Chordata; Aves; Galliformes; Phasianidae
Exons: 2
Source: RefSeq, a predicted model, not a curated record
UUGUCAAACCCAACUUCUUUCAGGUUAAAUGCUUGCUCUUUUCUGUUUACAUGAGGGAGGAAAAAAAAUAUAACUUCGAUUAGUUCUUGCUAAGUGGAAUCCUCAGGCAAGGCUUCUCUUGAUUAAGAAUGAAGUUUGACCUAAGCAGAAAACAUACGGUAGUUUCUCAGCUAUAAAAUAUCACACAUUGCUCUCAUAUACAAAGGAGUCAAAUAAGUUACUCAAGAUCACGCAGGUCACCUGUGGUUAAGCUGGCAAUAGAACUGACUGCACCAAUCCUCCACACCCACACAUAGCAGAGAUCCACUGACAGCAAGGGCCAGUAUCUCUGCUGCAGAUCUGUCCAUCAGUAGGUCACUUUCACCAUCCUGGAUUACAUGCACUCACUGUGUUAUUCUUUUUUUCCUAUUAUUCAUUUCACCUUUCAGAGAAACAACAAUAUUAAAACAGUUUAAAAUUUCCUUUAAGAUUUUCUUCGUAUCUAUUUCAGUCCCUGAUCAUAAGAAAGAAGCACAGAGGCAGAGUUUGAGGCUGGCUGAAUGGCCCCAAAUCUAGCAGACAGCUUGUUAGUCCUGACAGCCUUUGGCUGACGUUCUUUUCAAUUAGACUUUCUAUAUGUACUGUUUUACAUGUGUAUAUGAGUCCAUGCAUGCCUUUUUUUGCUCUUUAAGCAGUUACCAAAAAACCAUGCAGAUCAUCUAGUAGCACUAGACAAAUAAAGCCAUUAAAGAAAAAAAAAGAAAGAGCAAAAAAGCCAGUCAAUUUUGAGGAAAGCUAAUUAUGUAAAACAUUAGCUGAUAGAAAUCAAAGGAACAUUUUUGUCUUCGAUCCAAUAUUUCUUGCUGUUUAAAUUUUGCCAUUAAAUAUUGCUCAGUAUAAAGUUUUUGCUGACUAUGCUAAGCACAGUUAUUCAGGAACACAAAGCCAACUUCCACAGCACUGACACAGAAAUCUGGCAACAGCACUGGAGUACUGCAAGAUGAGGGGCAUCGUUUUACUUCCAACCUAAUGGGCCAAUAGGGUCUGCAAAUGCUGGAAAGGAAACAUGCUCAGAUACUGUGAGAAGGAACACUUUUCUUGUUAGGAGACCCUACCACUAUUUGUGGCAUAAAUGUUGCCUUCAAUUAGAUAAUUAAGUCAACAGACUGCUGAGCUUUUGGGAACAGCGAUAUGGUGGACUCCAGAAUAGUUGUGCCAGAGGUAAGGAAAUGCAUUCUCAGCACCUGCAUGAGCUCUAUCAGUUCUUAACAAUUACACGCUGGCCUAUAUCAAAGCCCACAGUUUGGAAGAGUAAGUAACAGAUACUUACAUUUUAGUGUGUUCUCUAAAAGAGGUAUGUAUAGGACAUGGCAUGUCUUGUGGGUGGGAAGACAACAACGCUCAUUUUAAUGAUCAGAACAUAGACUGUUUCCAGGAUAAGCCACAAGUAUUUUAAUUAAGUAUUUUAUUUAAGCUUAAUUGUCACAUUGCUUUUCUUUUGCUUUGUUUUGCAAUCACAUUAUACAGCUAUUGGAGGCAGACAGAGGUUGGUGAAGCAAAGCCAACUCCAACUUUUGCUCCAAAAGCAAUUAUCCUGGACUUUAGGGUACUCAGUUCCCCAAGGAUUAAAGCAGUGACCAAGACGCAUUCCGGGAAUAAUAUGCAUAUUAUAAUAAAAUAACUAUAUUUUACAAUGUGCUAUAUACAUGGUAGCAUGUACAUUCUUACUGAUAAGUGCCAGUUCUUACACAGCCACUAGCUGCUAAACCUAUUCUCACCAAUUUUCACCUGCAACACAGUGCUGAUUUCACUCAAUCUGAAUAUGUUUUUAAUUUUUUUUUUGCCAGUGUACAGGAACUAUCAUUUAAAUAGUACUACAUAUAACAGCUGAAAUUCAGAUACUGUGCUGUAGAUAAAUUACACAGGUUAACUUUUAGUAACUGUUGCUGUAGGUAAUUAAUGCUUAUAGCUAUCAGAAUAUUUUUUCACUUAAACUUUGCCUCGUUUAUAAAAAGCCAGCACUUCUUCUAAUUUAUCCAGGCAGGGCAGAUCUUAGCUAUUUCAGACAUCUCCUGCUUUCCUUUGAAACUAUCUUAGCAAUAUAGUCAGUAUAAAGAAUGACCGACUAACUUUGAGGCCACCAUACAUUUUUAACAUGUGGCUAACUCUAUGUGAUGAGUCGUCAGGGUUGUAAGUCCAUCUCGUGCUAUGUAAAAACAGAAGGUUUAAGCAUAAACAGCAUGAAGAAGUCUCAUGGCCUGAUUCUGGCCACAUUAUCUUAUGGCAGCCCUCACUCAGGCCCUGACAAGUAAACAGGCUACAGAUCACUGCAUAUUUUCAUAAUACUAAAUAGCCUUAAUGCGCCAUGGUUGCUAUUGCUAAAGAUAUACAGUCAGGUUUUCAUAACCACUGGGAAGUUUAUCUUCAGAUUAAUCAAAAUUAUUGUCUCACCACUAAUCUCUGAAAAUGCUUCUGUUGGGAUAAUUAUUUUCUUCCAUUACCACCAACAGAAAUAAAAGUAUGUUUCCCUUUCAUUAAUAGUGAAGUGCUAAACUGAACUCUAGGAGUUUUCAGAGCAGUAACACUCCCCCAUAUAGUCUGUUGGGUUGGUUAAGUGUUCCACUUCAUAAAAACAUUGCCAUAUACUCUAACUUUGUUUAUGGAGGUAAAAAUCUCAGUUUGUUACAUUUGUUUUUGAACUUGCUCAGGUCUCACCAGGGUCCACACAUAAGGCAGAUUCUGAUGAACGUCUUCAGACUUUGGGUUAGAAAGCUGGAAAAUCAAACCUAGAGAAACAGAAUGAGAGGUUAGAAAUAGAUGCAUAAGUAAAAACUAAUGUUAAUGUUAGCCCUGUUCCCUGUUAUCCUCCUAUGGAAAGUAAGGUUCAUUCAUAUGAAUAUAUUGUGCUGUAGCUUUGAGAAUUGCUUUCUUAAGCAGAUCCUCUACUUUGGAAAAUACAAAAGGAGAAAGAGGUAAUACGUGUUCUGGGUGUCACUGUUCAGUUGGUCUACUGCCAGACAGGUACAGGAUUGCCACUGGAAAGGAUGUAGUGUAAUGCUCCUAUAACAGUGGGAGCUGGUUAUCUCCACCCUUCAGGCAUUCAUUUGUGAUUAAGAAACCUUCAACAGCUGCCUGACUUUACAGUGCACUGGCAGAUCCUCUGGUGGAGUGCCUGGAGAGGAUAGUAUACAAUGUCAAGAUGACCAACGAUCUUGAGAUCACUGAGCAGAAUAAAGAGGCAGCCUGUGGACACAAAAGCCUACGGUGGAAUCAAUAAUCUUGCCAAUUCAGCAGCACAGUGACACCGAGGACAUGCAACACCACAGGAACACAUUUCCAGAUGGUUCGGGUGUGCUGUUCCUUUGUUAUAACCAGAGGAAAUCAGAUGCCACAUUUUUAGGAAACACCACAAGAAGUUGUAAAUCCAUUCUAUUUCAAUAUAUUGGUUUACAAAGCUAUUCUUCCAUGCUAGGAUUGUAAAUGUCUCUGCAGCACUUUCAGCAAUGCACAGACACUAUUUUUUUUUUCACAUGGCAAUGUUCUCAAAGAAAUAAUAGUAAAAAAUAAAAAUAAAAAGGUGCAGAAUAAGCAGUCCUUCCCUUUAGACCAUCAGCAUUGCCCAUACAUUUUAGGCAGAGCUUACAUAAUGCCUUGUGAUGAACGUUUCAGUGGGUGCAUUAGUACUGCCGUUCAGAGGAAGUUAUUAACUCAAACACAAGUGGUCAGACAGUUCCCAGCAGGGAAGGAUUAAAAUAAUAUCCCAAAGCAGUGGUUGGUCCUGCAUUUUGCUAGCACAGAGAAGUGGACUCAUAGUGGCUACGUACGACAGGUAUGGAGACGUUAUUGGCAGAUGACCACAGAUAAUCAGAGGACUGCGUAUUUAAAACCAGAUUGUAGUAAAAAGGCACAGUAUUAUUCCUUGAAAAUUACUCCUUUCUCAUGGUAAGCCAUUCUUUAAUUAAUUCAGGCAUCUGUAACAGUAUGUUCAGUUAGUGUAUCAUUCUAACCACCUCUGCAGAACACUAGCUUUACAGAGCAGCUGCCUGCUUCUCUUACCUUGUUCCUCACAAAUGUUGGAUGAAAGUGAGAAGCUGACUGUGAUGGGUGACUGGUCAGCAUCAUUUUGCACAGCAGGAGCUAAACACAAAGAAAGGAGAAUGCAGUGCUUAGGAACACACAUGGAAAGGUAAGUCUGCUUUUAAAAAUUAUUAUUGAUUUCUUUUUAAAGAGGUGAGAAUUACCUGGAGAACUGUAACAGGCUUCUUCCCAACACUAGGUUCAGCACUUGCAAUCACUGAUACUCGCAGAAUGAAAUGCUUUAGAUGCAAAUCUUCUCUACUGGUGCAAUGUGUUAUGACUCUAUCACUCACCUUGAAAGAGGAGACUAAAAAUGCUUUGCUAAAUGACUUGAAACAUUGCCCAGUUUCACCGGCUUUGUUCUUCUCAAGUGUUUGUACCUCUUGCUUCAGCUGCAAAGCUAUUUCAUCAUGUCCUAAACCAGUGCUUUGCAAAGAACUGCAGUAUAUCCAGUUAUAAGCUGGAGCACAUUGGCCUAUCCAGCCAAUGGUGUAUUCUUAACAGAAAGCACUUUUUUCCUUUUUUUUGGCCAAACGUUACAACACAGCACAUUUGUGCAGCACUGUAUUACCUUCACUUUCUGAAGGUGCGUUUGAUGCUGUCUCAGGAUUUAUUUCUCCCUUUGUAGUGCAGGAUGAUAGAAUAAAGCCUUUCUUGUGUUGUUCUUUUCUGAUGGCAGUGAUUUCAUGCUCCUUACAUUUGGAUGCCAGAGUACUAUUCUUAACCUCCUCUGAGGCCUGGCUUCUCCUGGAUCUCAUGCUUCUGUAUGAUAGCAACUUCUGCUGCUGUUUACAGAAAUCAGCCCUCACAGUGAGUUCCCUCCAGCUGCAGGUAAGCACAGUUACAAGUUCCAGUGGAAAACCAGUCUGAUACCUAGCCAGGAGCUGCCACUUCUCCCCAAGUUGCAGAUGCAGACUUAUUCAACAUGUUAAGUGCUUUCAUCUACAACAAAAUAAAUGUUUCCAAUUUAACACUGGAGGAUGUGUGAAGGGGAAGAGGGAAGUAGAACAACGUCCUGGAAAUGGAAGAAAUCACCUGGUCAAAGAAAUAUAUGGGUCCUGCCUCUGGCACUGCAGCUGUAAGUACUGGUUCCAUUAAUCCCAAGAUGAGCAAGGACUGAAAUACUCCAAGGGAAGACCGUUAUGUCAGCAGGCUGUGAGAAAGAAACUGUUCGUUCUUUUCACACUAACAGUGAAGCUGAGUCGGUAUUUUCUGUGUGAGGUAUUGAAAAUCUGCUUCAAAUAUUACACGAAACACUACUGUACAGAUAGGGAUGCAUUCACAUAUCAGAGGACUAAACUAUAGGAAAUCAAUUACAAAACUGAAAACCCGAGUAUCAGUUUUUGUUCAUUUAGAUUCAUAUCAAUCCAAAACAGUGUCUUCAUGAGACACAGCCUACUGUUAUUUUAUAGGACAGAUGUCUCAGUUUGUUUGUUAUAUGAAAAAGAAGAUUGGUUUCAUAUGACUCAGUGACUGUCAUUAAAUAUGCUAUCAUUCAAAAAA